This 622-nucleotide ribosomal RNA is filed under the name Eocronartium muscicola. Its description in RNAcentral is "LSU rRNA". It matches the Rfam family "Eukaryotic large subunit ribosomal RNA", at positions 46 to 667 of the family's 3401-position model. The record is from RNAcentral. Lineage: Eukaryota; Fungi; Basidiomycota; Pucciniomycetes; Platygloeales; Eocronartiaceae.
AUAAGCGGAGGAAAAGAAACUAACUAGGAUUCCCCCAGUAACGGCGAGUGAAGAGGGACUAGCCCAAAUUUGUAAUCUGGCUCUUUCAGAGUCCGAGUUGUAAUCUCGAGAACAGUUUUCCGUGUUGGACCUUGUAUAAGUCUGUUGGAAUAUAGCUUCGUAGAGGGUGAGAAUCCCGUACAUAACAAGGACUACCAAUGCUUUGUGAUACUGUCUCUAAGAGUCGAGUUGUUUGGGAAUGCAGCUCAAAUCGGGUGGUAAAUUCCAUCUAAGGCUAAAUAUUGGCGAGAGACCGAUAGCGAACAAGUACCGUGAGGGAAAGAUGAAAAGCACUUUGGAAAGAGAGUUAACAGUACGUGAAAUUGUUAAAAGGGAAACGAUUGAAGUCAGUCUUGUAGCUUUUCGUUCAACCGCAAGGUGUAUUCGGAUUGCAACAGGCCAGCAUCAAUUUUUGGUGUCGGAUAAGGGUAUUGGAAAUGUAGCAAUCUUGGUUGUGUUAUAGUCCUUUACUUGAUACGAUGCUAGGGAUUGAGGAACGCAGUGAGCCUUUUGGCGGGUCUUUGGACCUUCUCACUUUGGAUGCUGGCGUAAUGGCUUUAACACCCGUCUUGAAACACGGACC